UACGAAGGGGGCUAGCGUUGUUCGGAGUUACUGGGCGUAAAGGGCGCGUAGGCGGUACUUCAAGUCAGGCGUGAAAGCCCCGGGCUUAACCUGGGAAUGGCAUUGGAAACUGGCGGGCUUGAGUGUGGCAGAGGGGGGUGGAAUUCCGCGUGUAGCAGUGAAAUGCGUAGAGAUGCGGAGGAACACCGAUGGCGAAGGCAGCCCCCUGGGCUAACACUGACGCUCAGGCACGAAAGCGUGGGGAGCAAACAGG
Molecule: ribosomal RNA, 253 nt
Filed under: uncultured bacterium
Lineage: Bacteria
Description: partial 16S ribosomal RNA
Rfam family: Bacterial small subunit ribosomal RNA
Source: RNAcentral